RNAcentral lists this ribosomal RNA (254 nucleotides) under uncultured bacterium. RNAcentral's name for it is "partial 16S ribosomal RNA". It matches the Rfam family "Bacterial small subunit ribosomal RNA", at positions 524 to 776 of the family's 1533-position model. The record is from RNAcentral.
CACGUAGGGGGCGAGCGUUGUCCGGAAUCAUUGGGCGUAAAGAGCUCGUAGGCGGCUCAAUAAGUCGGGUGUGAAACCUCCAGGCUCAACCUGGAGACGCCACCCGAUACUGUUGUGGCUAGAGUCCAGUAGGGGAGUGUGGAAUUCCCGGUGUAGCGGUGAAAUGCGCAGAUAUCGGGAGGAACACCAGCGGCGAAGACGGCACUCUGGGCUGGUACUGACGCUGAGGAGCGAAAGCGUGGGUAGCAAACAGG